RNAcentral lists this ribosomal RNA (443 nucleotides) under uncultured bacterium. RNAcentral describes it as "partial 16S ribosomal RNA". It matches the Rfam family "Bacterial small subunit ribosomal RNA", at positions 338 to 795 of the family's 1533-position model. The record is from RNAcentral.
CCUACGGGGGGCUGCAGUGGGGAAUAUUGGGCAAUGGGCGCAAGCCUGACCCAGCAACGCAGCGUGAAGGAAGACGGCCCUCGGGUUGUAAACUUCUUUUAUUCGGGACGAAACAAAUGACGGUACCGAAUGAAUAAGCCACGGCUAACUACGUGCCCGCAGCCGCGGCAAUACGGAGGUGGCAAGCGUUAUCCGGGUUUACUGGGUUUAAAGGGCGUGUAGGCGGGAGAGCAAGUCAGACGUGAAAUGCCAGGGCUCAACCCUGGCACUGCGGUUGAAACUGUUCUUCUUGAGUGAUUGGGAGGCAGGCGGAAUUCGGGGUGUAGCGGUGAAAUGCGUAGAUAUACGGAGGAACACCAGUGGCGAAGGCGGCCUGCUGGAGAGUAACUGACGCUGAGGCGCGAAAGCGUGGGGAGCAAACAGGAUUAGAUACCCGGGUAGUC